GAUGAACGCUGGCGGCGUGCCUAAUACAUGCAAGUCGAGCGAACAGACGAGGAUCUUGCUCCUCUGACGUUAGCGGCGGACGGGUGAGUAACACGUGGAUAACCUUCCUAUAAGACUUGGAUACCUUCGGGAAACCGGAACUAAUACCGGAUAAUAUAUUGAACCGCAUGGUUCAAUAGUGAAAGACGGUUUUGCUGUCACUUAUAGAUGUAUCCGCGCCGCAUUAGCUAAUUGGUAAGGUAACGGCUUACCAAGUCAACGAUGCGUAGCCGACCUGAGAGGGUGAUCGGCCACACUGGAACUGAGACACGGUCCAGAGUCCUACGGGAGGCAGCAGUAGGGAAUCUUCCGCAAUGGGCGAAAGCCUGACGGAGCAACGCCGCGUGAGUGAUGAAGGUCUUCGGAUCGUAAAACUCUGUUAUUAGGGAAGAACAAAUGUGUAAGUAACUAUGCACGUCUUGACGGUACCUAAUCAGAAAGCCACGGCUAACUACGUG
RNAcentral lists this ribosomal RNA (497 nucleotides) under uncultured bacterium. RNAcentral's name for it is "partial 16S ribosomal RNA". It matches the Rfam family "Bacterial small subunit ribosomal RNA", at positions 28 to 507 of the family's 1533-position model. The record is from RNAcentral.